CAUGAAGCAAAAAAUUUGAGUGACACAAGGAGGAAGAAUGUGAAGCGAGAAGGACGAUUCAGAGCAAGCUGUGAAAGGGAACAGAAGAGAAGAAAGCAACUGUUUUCGUGUGAGUGUGCUUCCGUCCCGGUGAAGCUGCCCCGCCAUUCCUCACCACCUCCUGAAAAGAACACACACAUCAAAGAAAAAGAAGAAGAAAGCAAGGCUGUGUUUUGCAUGCAUUAGUGUGCAUCAAUCAGGCCCAUGAUCUUGGAAAUUUGGACACCAUCUUUUUCUUUUGCUGUAUGCGGAGAGAGCAAUUGACAGUGAUCAGACAAUAAGCAGAGAACCCAACGAGACAUUUUUCAUGUCCUUGUAACAUGAAAUGAGCAGAAAUAGAACAGAACCAAAGAACACAAUAGCAGAAGUGAAAGAGUGACCUGAGGCAGACAUCUACCUCUACCAAAAUCAUCCGAACGCAAGUCCUGAGCUUUGCUCUUGAUGUUGAACCAUCUUCUGACAAAGGACUUGGACCAUGAAAGCUGCUCUCAAGCCCACGAAAGGAGGAAAAGAAGAAGAAAAAGAGUAAGAAUCAGUAAUCCAUGGAGCUCGGUGGCUAAGAAGAAUGGCCUCAUGCAGCUGAACAAAUGCUUGGCGACAGCUCUUCAGGCAUCAAAAAGGAAUGAAAUGCGGUAAGCGUAAUCUUUU
Musa acuminata subsp. malaccensis (wild Malaysian banana) is the source of this 687-nucleotide non-coding RNA. The record is from RefSeq and is a predicted model, not a curated record. Lineage: Eukaryota; Viridiplantae; Streptophyta; Magnoliopsida; Zingiberales; Musaceae.